UCCCAAUGUCCCUUGUGUGAGCCUCAAGC
RNAcentral lists this non-coding RNA (29 nucleotides) under Rattus norvegicus (Norway rat). Lineage: Eukaryota; Metazoa; Chordata; Mammalia; Rodentia; Muridae. The record is from RNAcentral.